CCAAACCCAGUAAUUAACCCUCCAGAUAAACGAACCAGAACUGUCCUUCCUCCUACCUUGCCCCUACCUAUAGCUCCACUUGCUUGAGCUAACCAACCUUCUCAACAUUGUGGUCACUCGCAUGGUGACCUGCCUUGUCGACGUAUCAAUAAUGCCUGCUAUCGGUGCGAAAGCACCCAACACCUUAUAAAAGACUACUCUCAGUGACCAAAUGAUAUAGCACGACCUGUAGCACAAGGUCGAGUGUACCACUUAGAUGAAUCUGAUGUCCUUCCUGCUCCUAUCCUCAUCUAGUGUAUGUUUUAAUAUUCAUAAUACUUCUACUAAGGCUUUGAUUGAUGUUGAUGUAACUCACUCUUUAUUUUUGAUGCAUUUGCUUGUAACCUAGAAUUUAGACCAGAAACUUUUAGGAAAAACGCUAAUGGUGGAAACUCGUUC
RNAcentral lists this long non-coding RNA (438 nucleotides) under Carica papaya (papaya). RNAcentral's name for it is "long non-coding RNA (CPAP_LNC009045)". Lineage: Eukaryota; Viridiplantae; Streptophyta; Magnoliopsida; Brassicales; Caricaceae. The record is from RNAcentral.